Molecule: ribosomal RNA, 274 nt
Filed under: uncultured bacterium
Lineage: Bacteria
Description: partial 16S ribosomal RNA
Rfam family: Bacterial small subunit ribosomal RNA
Source: RNAcentral
AUACGUAGGUCCCGAACGUUGCGCGAAAUUACUGGGCGUAAAGGGUCCGUAGGCGGUCUGGUAAGUGGAAGGUGAAAGCCUGGGGCUCAACUCCAGAAUUGCCUUCCAAACUGCCGGACUUGAGGCAGGGAGAGGUCGGCGGAAUUCCUGGUGUAGCGGUGAAAUGCGUAGAUAUCGGGAGGAACACCAGUGGCGAAGGCGGCCGACUGGAACUGUCCUGACGCUGAGGGACGAAAGCCAGGGGAGCGAACCGGAUUAGAAACCCUAGUAGUCC